AAUCCAUGCAUUAGACACUUCUGAAUUAAAAUUUUAAAUCAUUCCCAAGCUUCAUAUAAUAUUUCAUCAUCUAACUACCAAAAAGAUAUGAUGUCAUUUCUAAGCUU
Molecule: small nucleolar RNA, 107 nt
Organism: Gossypium arboreum
Lineage: Eukaryota; Viridiplantae; Streptophyta; Magnoliopsida; Malvales; Malvaceae
Rfam family: Plant small nucleolar RNA R71
About the family: R71 is a member of the C/D box family of snoRNAs containing the C (UGAUGA) and D (CUGA) box motifs. Multiple nearly identical copies of this snoRNA have been identified in Arabidopsis, and it is thought to function as a 2'-O-ribose methylation guide for 18S ribosomal RNA.
Source: Rfam